UCCCUGGCGGUCCAGUGGUUAGGACUCGGCACUUACACUGCCAUGGCCCGGGUUCGAUCCCUGGUUGGGGAA
This is a non-coding RNA of Balaenoptera musculus (blue whale), 72 nucleotides long. NCBI's taxonomy places the organism in Eukaryota, Metazoa, Chordata, Mammalia, Artiodactyla, Balaenopteridae. The record is from the annotation of a RefSeq genome assembly.